CUCAGGAUGAACGCUAGCGAUAGGCCUAACACAUGCAAGUCGAGGGGCAUCACAGGAGUAGCAAUACUUCGGGUGGCGACCGGCGCACGGGUGAGUAACGCGUAUGCAACCUGCCCAUAACAGGGGGAUAACCCGUUGAAAGACGGACUAAUACCGCAUAAGACAGGGGUUCCGCAUGGGAUUCUUUGUUAAAGAAUUAUUGGUUAUGGAUGGGCAUGCGUUCCAUUAGGCAGUUGGUAAGGUAACGGCUUACCAAACCUACGAUGGAUAGGGGCACUGAGAGGUUUGUCCCCCACACUGGAACUGAGACACGGACCAGACUCCUACGGGAGGCAGCAGUGAGGAAUCUUGGUCAAUGGGCGAGAGCCUGAACCCAGCCAAAUCGCGUGAAGGAAUACAGCCCUAUGGGGUUUUAAACUUUCUUUUUAUACAGGGGGUAAAAAGGGGGGUACGAGUACCCCAUUGCAAGUACUGUAUGAAUAAGCAUUCGGCUAACUCCGUGCCAGCAGCCGCGGUAAUACGGAGGAUGCGAGCGUUAUCCGGAUUUAUUGGGUUUAAAGGGUGCGCAGGCGGGUAAAUAAGUCAGCGGUGAAAUUUAGGCGCUUAACGCCUACUGUGCCGUUGAAACUGUUUAUCUUGAGUAUGGAUGAAGCAGGCGGAAUUCGUUGUGUAGCGGUGACAUGCAUAGAUAUAACGAAGAACUCCGAUAGCGUAGGCAGCUUGCUAAGCCAUUACUGACGCUCAGGCACGAAAGCGUGGGUAUCAAACAGGAUUAGAUACCCUGGUAGUCCAUGCUGUAAACGAUGAUUACUAACUGUUUGCGAUAUGAUAGUAAGCGGCCGAGCGAAAGCGAUAAGUAAUCCACCUGGGGAGUACGCCGGCAA
Molecule: ribosomal RNA, 884 nt
Filed under: uncultured bacterium
Lineage: Bacteria
Description: bacterial SSU rRNA
Rfam family: Bacterial small subunit ribosomal RNA
Source: RNAcentral